ACUUGUGGAAGUGAAACUCGACACCAGCUGCAUGAAGGACAGGAAGCACGACAGUCUUUGAGUAUACUGUGGAGGUACGUAGGGGAGGGGGGCAUCUACAGUCAGAUGCAGAGCUUACUGAGGUUUUGUUGUCAUUACCCUUAAUUACAGAAUACGAGGUACUGGAUUUUUGUUCUUUCCAUAAACCACCAAGUUGAAUAUUUCAUUAAACCCAUCCUUAUAAUUGACUCAAUGAAAAUACGCUAAGCUUGCUUCUUGUUUUUUUCCCCUAAAAGAUUGCAUCAACUGCUUGUCAUAAAAAAUAAUAAAUUCCUUCCUGUUUUUUACCCUGUUGCUGUCUUCAGAAAAAUAAAACCCUUUUUAGAAAUGCCCCGCCAGAAGCAGAAAGUAAUCAGUCAUCUGUGAGAGCAUUCCCAUAACUUUUAUAUCCAACUGCAACAGGAACACUGAACCCCCCAUGCUGACCCAUAACAGGCCAUUCAACAAGCAAAUACAAACUUUCACAUACAGAAAAAAGGUACGUUUUUAACAUUUCACAAUCAGAUGCAUCCAGCAACAGAAAGGAAGAACACUUGGGGUUGAACUCAACAGUCGUUUUGAUUAUUUACAGUUGGAAUUUGUGCCAAUUUCUAAACAAAAAACGCAGGCAGACAUGGAAAACAAAAAGACAAAUUCCAUCAAAAGGGGUUCAAUUGCAACACAACAUUUCUCAUAAAAGGUGCAUGAACCGCUGGUUCUUCUCGUUAAGGUGCAAAAUCAUUUCAAACUCUAAAAUAAAACUGUCAGCCAUUUCCAAUUUCCAUCGUAAAGAGGUGGCGCAUUAGAUACAUGAAUAAACUACAGACUGAAAAGACACCGCCGCGCAAUACAGGCUCUCCUUCUUACCCAAAUAACUGUUUCUGCACACGUGGAUCGUACCAUACAACCAUUUGCUUCAAGCAUUGUUGCCUCCUCAUGACAUCACUGUACCCACCAGGCUUCUGCUCACGGAUUUGAAUUAAAAGGCACAUACCUAUUCUCUGUAAUUAUUCCCUGCCACUUUUGCAGUUGUCAGCACUUCUUUUUCCUUUUCAAAAAUAUCAAUACUGGCCGAGUUGUCACAUUAAUAUAACCUUUAUUUUUCUUCAGGUAAUCGUCAAAAUUGUGGGCUAAAGUUUUAUCGAAGGAGGCAAACGUUUCAGGUUCACAACUUAACUAGAAAUUGUUCUCUUAGACAACAGUCAAGCCAGCUGAAUCAGUCUUAUUAUUCCUUUUAAGCUCAUGAAAAGAAGAUGAAAUGCUUCAUAUUUAGCAGUUCAACUGCUCAUUCCAUCUCUCUGCACUGUCAAAUAAAGAUAAAAAUAAAUGACUAUGUGUCUUAUGAUAAGACUGCUUUAUUAGACUCCUUUUUUAUGCAAAAAUAGCACUUUCCUUAUUUGACAAGACCUCUUUCAAUUAAACAUGAAGAUCGAGAUUUUAAAACAAUCCCUCUCACUCUCUUUUGCUCACGCCGCUCUAGGCAUGAGCACUUGUAUAAAUAUAGUUUGUCUUCUAAAAAUAUGACCAUAUUUUAUAACCUUUUGCCCUUUAAAUUCUCUUUACAAUCAUCUCAGUAAAAAGCGUUCACCUUCUCUCUGGAUCACGUAUUCAGUUCAUAGACAGAGAAACAUGCUACAAUAUUAGGAAACAGAAGAAGAGGAAGAUGACAUUUCUAUAAGACACUGCACAGUGAAACACUCAGUGAGAUUCUCUAGGUCUCGAGAAAUGUGAUGUGGCGAAGAACAGUUGCAGGGUGAUGAUUGGAAGGAGCAGGGGGAGGAAAAACAGGUAGUGUUAAAUGAUAUUAUUGGUUCUAUUUCAUUUUUUAGUUCCUUCUCCUAGGCUGGAAUAUGGAGUGGUCUACUCCGAACCUGUCCUUACAGCCAUCCUUGCACCUCUGCAAUAGUAACCCACCAAUCACCUUCAUUUCAGGGAAUGUAUUUAAUAUUAAACAGUGGAUGCGCAUACACACCUUAAAAAGACAAGGGGAGGCAGAGGACAGUUUGGAGAAAAGCCUCUCACUCUCUCCCUUUCCUCAACUACCUUCAUUGUACAGUCUUAAAGCAAAUAAGUGUUCAUGUCCAGGUUACAUCGGGGUCACAGCUGUUGACCCCAGCAGUGUAGUAUAGACAGUCAGAUGUGAGAGAUCAGCGUGGGCCAAAGAGUGAGGAGGCAAGCAAAACUGGGGAAUACUGGUAUGUGUGUCACCAAAUCUCAACUAUCCCCAGACACAAAGUUCAAAAUAAUGCUCCUCCUUCCCCACCUACACCUGGUAGCGAUUCACCUGAAGAGCCACCUGACUCCAUGCCGGCCCCGCCAGCAGCCUCCAGGGAGGUUGGGUCGAAGGCUGGCUCCGCCCCCAAGGUGUCGUCCUCCAUCUUGACCCCGUCGGGAAGGAAAGCAGUGUAGGCGUCGCUCUCGGCCAUCAGUAGUUUCAGCUUGGGGAUCCAGCUCUUACGCACCACGCGGCGGGCGUUGGUGCACAUGUCCGCUGCGAUGGCAUUCAUCUCGCUCUCUUUGAAGCUGGUGGCAAAGUUCUGGCAAUAAACUGUCAUGGAAAAGGCAAAUACCCUCGGACCGAACAACACUCACAUUUGACCGCGUGCAGAACUCUGUUGUCCAGCGGCUUGCGGCUUGGGUCGUUGGUGGAUGAGCGGAUGCCGGUUCCACAGCUGUUAGCCAGAGUGUUCCUGAUACAUCAAAGAGAGGAACACACAACAGAGGAAAACAACAAUAAGUUGUUACAUCCUUCCAAUCCAGGCCGUGGCUGAUCUCUCCGACUUCAGAUUGUGUGGUUCAUACACGGGUCUCCUUCCUCGUACAGUUUGGGAUGACAGCGGUUGCCUAUCUGAGCGACGAGUUCUGCGGGCAGACAUGUGAGGUCUCUGCCUCGCAUCCGACCCCGUGUCUCUGUGUGGUCUGGUAGAGCCUCAACACGCUCACCAGCUGCUGGAGAGAAACAGGUUUUCAGAGUUAGAAUAUAACCAUAACACACAAAAAAAUUAAAGAUGGUGCACGGUGACAUCUGAACACCAGACACUCAUUCAUUACAUUUCUCUGCCUUUAGUUAUGAGAUAUUAUAAGACAUGUUCAACACAACAUGUCUUUAAGUGACACAUACUGAUCCGCCUCAUGUCCUUUACCUGCGGCGCCCAUGUUGAGCAUGCUGUACAUGGUGUACAUGUUGCAGAUUUGCCUAUACUGCUCUUCAGCACAUUCAUCCGUCGGCUCUUCCUCUUCUUCAUCGUCGUGGUAGCUGAUGGGGGAGUCGCUGGCGUAGGUGCUGAGGGUGCCGGGACUGGCGCCCUCUGACACGCCGAGGCCUGCUGCGUAGUUGCCAUUGGUGCCAGUGCCGGCCACCAUGCCGGCCAGGCUGGUUGCGUUGGCCCCCACACCCAUAGCCAGUCCAAGGGCUCCGGGGCUCUGAAUGGCACUACCCCGCAAUGCCUCCUGGGAAUAACGGGCUGCUUUCCUAGCCCCGCCUCCUCCCCCUGAGCCUACCCCGCUGCUGCCGCCCUCCCACAACCGCUUGGCCACAGGGGUGCAGACCACAGAGUAAGGGGUGGCAGCUUCCGGCUGGCUGGCUGGCUGCUCCGUCUUCACCCGGGACACCAGAGGCAGUGGCGUCAGGCAGGAGGCAGGCCGGCCUGCACUGUUACUGGUCUGCGUCACAGGGCUCUGAGGCUCAGAGGGGGGGGCCUCCUCAGCGUGAAGACCCUGGGAGUCGCAGCUCGGGGAGGAGACCUAGGAAUGAAUGUAAACAUAUUCACUCUUGAGUAAAUAUCUUCACACAAGUUGAUGUCCAAUAUAUGUUGGAUGAUCAGUCUGUCUUUACAACAGCUGGGCAUCUCAAUGAUCAUUGGCCAGUUUCUAAACUUUUUCCAAAUUUGGAGGAUUAAUCAGGGUAAACCGUAAGGGAUUCCAAAUAGUUAAGUAACCCCUUUCCCUAUCGAAACAAGUGUUUCAGAAAUAAGGCUUGAUGUGGUUUUGAACAUAAUAUGGCUUUUAAUCACGGCAGCGUUUAGCUGAAUAUCUCCGUUAGAAAUUUCUCUCUUCAGACAGAGAGCUGCAUGCUCUCCAAAGGGGCGUGGCCAGCUUCAGCUCAAGUCAAAUUUAAAGCGACAGUCACAGCCUCAGCACUUCAGGAACAGGGCUGAAAUAGAGGGGGAUGAGGCAUGGCUACAAUGGGUGAUCUGUUUGGUAUUUUGAGCCAAACACUUCACAGACAUGUUUUGUAGAUAUUGCCCUACAAUAUGUUGUUCCACUAUAACAUAAUAGGAGACCUUUAUGUUGCGUUAGUGCAUACAUAUUGCUGCUAAAUGUCUAUUUUUUCUCAUUACGAACACAACAUGUUUCAGAAUUGUCCCAAUUGGAAUGGAGACGACACCUUGAUCACAAAUAACAACAAUUGUAAU
This is a long non-coding RNA of Eleginops maclovinus (Patagonian blennie), 4433 nucleotides long. RefSeq lists it as uncharacterized. NCBI's taxonomy places the organism in Eukaryota, Metazoa, Chordata, Actinopteri, Perciformes, Eleginopidae. The record is from RefSeq and is a predicted model, not a curated record. The transcript is spliced from 4 exons.